This 484-nucleotide ribosomal RNA is filed under the name uncultured bacterium. RNAcentral's name for it is "partial 16S ribosomal RNA". It matches the Rfam family "Bacterial small subunit ribosomal RNA", at positions 30 to 507 of the family's 1533-position model. The record is from RNAcentral.
AUUGAACGCUGGCGGCAGGCCUAACACAUGCAAGUCGAGCGGAUGAAGGGAGCUUGCUCCUGGAUUCAGCGGCGGACGGGUGAGUAAUGCCUAGGAAUCUGCCUGGUAGUGGGGGAUAACGUCCGGAAACGGGCGCUAAUACCGCAUACGUCCUGAGGGAGAAAGUGGGGGAUCUUCGGACCUCACGCUAUCAGAUGAGCCUAGGUCGGAUUAGCUAGUUGGUGGGGUAAAGGCCUACCAAGGCGACGAUCCGUAACUGGUCUGAGAGGAUGAUCAGUCACACUGGAACUGAGACACGGUCUAGACUCCUACGGGAGGCAGCAGUGGGGAAUAUUGGACAAUGGGCGAAAGCCUGAUCCAGCCAUGCCGCGUGUGUGAAGAAGGUCUUUGGAUUGUAAAGCACUUUAAGUUGGGAGGAAGGGCAGUAAGUUAAUACUUUGCUGUUUUGACGUUACCAACAGAAUAAGCACCGGCUAACUUCGUG